Molecule: ribosomal RNA, 446 nt
Filed under: uncultured delta proteobacterium
Lineage: Bacteria; Deltaproteobacteria
Description: bacterial SSU rRNA
Rfam family: Bacterial small subunit ribosomal RNA
Source: RNAcentral
CGUGGGUGACGAAGGCCUUCGGGUUGUAAAGCCCUGUCGCAGAGGAAGAAGAUCUGACGGUACUCUGUGAGAAAGCACAGGCUAACUCCGUGCCAGCAGCCGCGGUAAUACGGAGUGUGCGAGCGUUGUUCGGAAUCACUGGGCGUAAAGCGAGUGUAGGCGGAUUGUCAAGUCGGAUGUGAAAGCCCGGGGCUCAACCCCGGAGGGUCAUCCGAAACUGGCAGUCUUGAGUUCGGGAGAGGGUAGUGGAAUUCCCGGUGUAGAGGUGAAAUUCGUAGAUAUCGGGAAGAACACCAGUGGCGAAGGCGACUACCUGGACCGAUACUGACGCUCAGACUCGAAAGCGUGGGGAGCAAACAGGAUUAGAUACCCUGGUAGUCCACGCCGUCAACGGUGGGUACUAGGUGGUGCGGGUGUCUGACCCCUGCGCUGCCGCAGUUAACGCA